RNAcentral lists this ribosomal RNA (1503 nucleotides) under metagenome. Its description in RNAcentral is "bacterial SSU rRNA". It matches the Rfam family "Bacterial small subunit ribosomal RNA". The record is from RNAcentral.
AGAGUUUGAUCCUGGCUCAGGACGAACGCUGGCGGCGUGCUUAAUACAUGCAAGUCGAACGCGAAAGGAUCUUUCGGGAUCUGAGUAGAGUGGCGAACGGGUGAGUAACACGUAGAUAAUCUACCUUUGGGUUUGAGAUAACUUCUGGAAACGGGAGCUAAUACCGAAUGAAGCAAUUAAGUGGGAGCUUAGUUGUUAAAGGGGGGCAACUUCCGCCUGGAGAUGAGUCUGCGUUCUAUCAGCUUGUUGGUGGGGUAAUGGCCUACCAAGGCGAAGACGGAUAGCUGGUCUGAGAGGAUGAUCAGUCACAUUGGCACUGAGACACGGGCCAAACUCCUACGGGAGGCAGCAGUAGGGAAUAUUGCGCAAUGGGCGAAAGCCUGACGCAGCGACGCCGCGUGAGUGAAGAAGGUUCUAUGGAUCGUAAAGCUCUGUAAUGAGGGAAGAACCGAUUGGUGUAACGGCCAAUCCUGACGGUACCUCAAAAGUAAGGACCGGCUAAAUAAGUGCCAGCAGCCGCGGUAAUACUUAUGGUCCGAGCGUUGUCCGGAAUGACUGGGCGUAAAGGGUGCGUAGGCGGCUAUGUAUGUCAGGUGUGAAAUCCCCGGGCUUAACCUGGGAACUGCGCUUGAAACUGCAUAGCUUGAGUCCGUGAGAGGUUAGCGGAAUUCCCGGAGUAGCGGUGAAAUGCGUAGAGAUCGGGAAGAACACCAGUGGCGAAGGCGGCUAACUGGCACGGAACUGACGCUGAGGCACGAAAGCGUGGGGAGCGAACGGGAUUAGAUACCCCGGUAGUCCACGCCGUAAACGAUGUAUACUAGAUGCUGGGUCACUUAAUAGAUUCGGUGUCGGAGCUAACGCAUUAAGUAUACCGCCUGGGGAGUACGGUCGCAAGAUUAAAACUCAAAGGAAUUGACGGGGGCCCGCACAAGCGGUGGAGCAUGUGGUUUAAUUCGAUGCAACGCGCAGAACCUUACCCAGCCUUGACAUCCUUCUGAUCGGACCUAGAGAUAGGACUUUCUUCUUCGGAAGCGGAAGUGACAGGUGCUGCAUGGCUGUCGUCAGCUCGUGUUGUGAGAUGUUGGGUUAAGUCCCGCAACGAGCGCAACCCUUGUCGUUAGUUGCCAUCAUUAAGUUGGGCACUCUAGCGAGACUGCCGAGGUUAACUCGGAGGAAGGCGGGGAUGACGUCAAGUCCUCAUGGCCCUUAUGGCUGGGGCUACACACGUGCUACAAUGGUCGAGACAAACUGAUGCGAAGUCGCGAGGCUAAGCGAAUCAGAUAAACUCGAUCCUAGUCCGGAUUGGAGUCUGCAACUCGACUCCAUGAAGCUGGAAUCGCUAGUAAUCGUAGAUCAGCAUGCUACGGUGAAUACGUUCCCGGGCCUUGUACACACCGCCCGUCACACCAUGGGAGUUGUUCUCACUGGAAAACGUUGGGCUAGCCUUCGGGAGGCAUGCGUUAAUGGUGAGGAUAAUGACUGGGGUGAAGUCGUAACAAGGUA